UACGUAGGUGACAAGCGUUGUCCGGAUUUACUGGGCGUAAAGAGCGCGCAGGCGGUCGAUCAAGUCGAGUGUGAAAGCCCCCGGCUCAACUGGGGAGGGUCAUUCGAUACUGAUCGACUCGAAGGCAGGAGAGGGUAGUGGAAUUCCCGGUGUAGUGGUGAAAUGCGUAGAUAUCGGGAGGAACACCGGUGGCGAAGGCGACAUCCUGGACCGGUAUUGACGCUGAGGCGCGAAAGCCAGGGGAGCAAACGGG
This 253-nucleotide ribosomal RNA is filed under the name uncultured bacterium. RNAcentral describes it as "partial 16S ribosomal RNA". It matches the Rfam family "Bacterial small subunit ribosomal RNA", at positions 524 to 776 of the family's 1533-position model. The record is from RNAcentral.